Molecule: long non-coding RNA, 926 nt
Organism: Echinops telfairi (small Madagascar hedgehog)
Lineage: Eukaryota; Metazoa; Chordata; Mammalia; Afrosoricida; Tenrecidae
Exons: 2
Source: RefSeq, a predicted model, not a curated record
CCUUUCUCUUCCUACCUGACCCUUCUACAAACCUUUCUGCCUGGUCUUUAUUGGGUAUGAACCUUUAUGUCUUUGCCCAGCACUAGGUGCCCGGGAUCCCACAGACCAACACAAACAGGGAGGGGCUUCUAUAGGAGGGUCUGAACUGGGGCAGGGUGGAAGUGGUAUUGAACUGGCCUGAGGAGUAGGGGAGGGUGGCAUUUCUGGCAGCAGGCACAUGAACUGUGUCCUAAAGGCUGGCAGAUGUGAGGGAGGCUUGGGGCCUUCAGGGGCCAAGCUGCAGACCUUGGCUUUGGUGCAAGUUUGGCGGCAUGGGUCGUUCCCAGGCAAAGACAGGAGUCAGCUCCAGACUUGAUUAAACCCCCUCCAGGUUUGCUUUCCUUAGGCCUGGUACCCAAACCAGGCAACGUGCCAUUGAUGCCCACGUGUCAAGGCAGUGAGGAGUCCGGGCCGUUGUGGAGCUACGGGGAACUCCAAGAUCCUCUCAAGGAAAGAAAGUGACCAAGAGGAAGUCUUUGGACUAGAUGACCCAACCGGUGUUUCGAGUUAACUACUGAGCAAGCUUUUUAAGAAGCUCAGCUACUCUUGAGAAACCUCUACUCCUGCCACUCAGGGCUCCCUUUCCCUCGAGGCCACAAACAGCCAAACUAAGUAGCGGCUAUAGUGUUCCAAUCUGGAACUCCCUCUCUUGCCCACGGAUCCCAGCAGGUCUUAAGAGUUUGUCCCCCGUGAUUGAACUUGGGUUUUAAACGCCCCUGGGACCCCCACCUCCUUCAUGCCCAGCAGCCUGAAGCUGUGGGAAAGACUGCUUUCGAAGAGGUUUCGUGACACAAACCCAGACUAAAUAAGCCCUGUCCAGUGAGUCCACCGGGAGAAUGGGACGGGCUUGCCUUCGGUCCCAGCAUUAAAAAGCACAAAACCUUGUC